CUGGGAACGUCUGGGGAGGACUGCCGGUGAUAAACCGGAGGAAGGCGGGGAUGACGUCAAGUCCUCAUGGCCCUUACAUCCCGGGCUACACACGUGCUACAAUGGCAGGUACAGAGGGCUGCGAAGCCGCGAGGUGGAGCGAAUCCCAGAAAACCUGUCUCAGUCCGGAUUGAAGUCUGCAACUCGACUUCAUGAAGGCGGAAUCGCUAGUAACCGCGAAUCAGCAGGUCGCGGUGAAUACGUUCCCGGGCCUU
RNAcentral lists this ribosomal RNA (254 nucleotides) under uncultured Latescibacterota bacterium. RNAcentral describes it as "uncultured Latescibacteria bacterium partial 16S ribosomal RNA". It matches the Rfam family "Bacterial small subunit ribosomal RNA", at positions 1131 to 1382 of the family's 1533-position model. Lineage: Bacteria; Pseudomonadati; Candidatus Latescibacterota. The record is from RNAcentral.